Molecule: ribosomal RNA, 709 nt
Filed under: bacterium xpnta625lb740offp11.19
Lineage: Bacteria
Description: bacterial SSU rRNA
Rfam family: Bacterial small subunit ribosomal RNA
Source: RNAcentral
ACACAUGCAAGUCGAACGAUGAAGCCCUUCGGGGUGGAUUAGUGGCGAACGGGUGAGUAANACGUGGGCAAUCUGCCCUGCACUCUGGGACAAGCCCUGGAAACGGGGUCUAAUACCGGAUAUGACCAUCUUGGGCAUCCUUGAUGGUGUAAAGCUCCGGCGGUGCAGGAUGAGCCCGCGGCCUAUCAGCUUGUUGGUGAGGUAAUGGCUCACCAAGGCGACGACGGGUAGCCGGCCUGAGAGGGCGACCGGCCACACUGGGACUGAGACACGGCCCAGACUCCUACGGGAGGCAGCAGUGGGGAAUAUUGCACAAUGGGCGAAAGCCUGAUGCAGCGACGCCGCGUGAGGGAUGACGGCCUUCGGGUUGUAAACCUCUUUCAGCAGGGAAGAAGCGAAAGUGACGGUACCUGCAGAAGAAGCGCCGGCUAACUACGUGCCAGCAGCCGCGGUAAUACGUAGGGCGCAAGCGUUGUCCGGAAUUAUUGGGCGUAAAGAGCUCGUAGGCGGCUUGUCACGUCGGUUGUGAAAGCCCGGGGCUUAACCCCGGGUCUGCAGUCGAUACGGGCAGGCUAGAGUUCGGUAGGGGAGAUCGGAAUUCCUGGUGUAGCGGUGAAAUGCGCAGAUAUCAGGAGGAACACCGGUGGCGAAGGCGGAUCUCUGGGCCGAUACUGACGCUGAGGAGCGAAAGCGUGGGGAGCGAACAGGA